Molecule: ribosomal RNA, 460 nt
Filed under: uncultured bacterium
Lineage: Bacteria
Description: partial 16S ribosomal RNA
Rfam family: Bacterial small subunit ribosomal RNA
Source: RNAcentral
CCUACGGGGGGCAGCAGUGAGGAAUAUUGGUCAAUGGACGAGAGUCUGAACCAGCCAAGUAGCGUGAAGGAUGACUGCCCUAUGGGUUGUAAACUUCUUUUAUAUGGGAAUAAAAUGUUCCACGUGUGGGAUUUUGUAUGUACCAUAUGAAUAAGGAUCGGCUAACUCCGUGCCAGCAGCCGCGGUAAUACGGAGGAUCCGAGCGUUAUCCGGUUUUAUUGGGUUUAAAGGGAGCGUAGGUGGAUUGUUAAGUCAGUUGUGAAAGUUUGCGGCUCAACCGUAAAAUUGCAGUUGAAACUGGCAGUCUUGAGUACAGUAGAGGUAGGCGGAAUUCGUGGUGUAGCGGUGAAAUGCUUAGAUAGCACGAAGAACUCCGAUUGCGAAGGCAGUUCACUGGACUGCAACUGACACUGAGGCUCGAAAGUGUGGGUAUCAAACAGGAUUAGAUACCCGAGUAGUC